Molecule: small RNA, 114 nt
Filed under: Mytilus galloprovincialis (Mediterranean mussel)
Lineage: Eukaryota; Metazoa; Mollusca; Bivalvia; Mytilida; Mytilidae
Rfam family: Potassium channel RNA editing signal
About the family: This family represents a group of sequences related to the human potassium channel Kv1.1 hairpin element which directs the efficient modification of an adenosine to inosine by an adenosine deaminase acting on RNA (ADAR). The ADAR modification causes an isoleucine/valine recoding event which lies in the ion-conducting pore of the potassium channel. It is thought that this editing event targets the process of fast inactivation and allows a more rapid recovery from inactivation at negative potentials.
Source: RNAcentral
GUUGGUUAUGGUGAUCAUUACCCAAAGUCAGUACUUGGAAAAUGUGUUGGAGCAUGCUGUGCCGUUUGUGGAGUUAUAAUAAUUGCAAUGCCUAUUGCCAUCAUUGCGACAAAU